Molecule: ribosomal RNA, 497 nt
Filed under: uncultured bacterium
Lineage: Bacteria
Description: partial 16S ribosomal RNA
Rfam family: Bacterial small subunit ribosomal RNA
Source: RNAcentral
GAUGAACGCUGGCGGCGUGCCUAAUACAUGCAAGUCGAGCGGACAGACGAUGAGCUUGCUCCUCGGACGUUAGCGGCGGACGGGUGAGUAACACGUGUAUAACCUACCUAUAAUACUGGUAUAACUUCGGGAAACCGGAUCUAAUACCGGAUAAUAUAUUGAACCACAGGGUUGAAUAGUGAAAUACGGUUUUGCUGUCACUUAUAGAUGGAUCCGGGCCGUAUGAGCUAGUUGUUAAGGUAACGGCCUACCAAGGCAAGGAUGCGUAGCCGACGUGAGAGGGUGAUCGGCGACCCUGGAACUGGGACACGGUCAAGGCGCCUACGGGAGGCCGCAGUAGGGAAUCUUACGCAACAGGGGAAAGCUUGACGCAGCGACGCGGAGUGAGUGAUGAAGGUGUUCGGAUCGUAAAACUCUGUUAUUAGGGAAGAACAAAUGUGUAAGUAACUAUGCACGUAUUGACGGUAACUAAUAAGAAAGCAACGGCUAACUACGUG